RNAcentral lists this ribosomal RNA (497 nucleotides) under uncultured bacterium. Its description in RNAcentral is "partial 16S ribosomal RNA". It matches the Rfam family "Bacterial small subunit ribosomal RNA", at positions 28 to 507 of the family's 1533-position model. The record is from RNAcentral.
GAUGAACGCUGGCGGCGUGCCUAAUACAUGCAAGUCGAGCGAACAGACGAGGAGCUUGCUCCUCUGACGUUAGCGGCGGACGGGUGAGUAACACGUGGGUAACCUACCUAUAAGACUGGGAUAACUUCGGGAAACCGGAGCUAAUACCGGAUAAUAUUUUGAACCGCAUGGUUCGAUAGUGAAAGACGGUUUUGCUUUCACUUAUAGAUGGAUCUGCGCCGCAUUAGCUAGUUGGUAAGGUAACGGCUUACCAAGGCAACGAUGCGUAGCCGACCUGAGAGGGUGAUCGGCCACACUGGAACUGAGACACGGUCCAGACUCCUACGGGAGGCAGCAGUAGGGAAUCUUCCGCAAUGGGCGAAAGCCUGACGGAGCAACGCCGCGUGAGUGAUGAAGGUCUUCGGAUCGUAAAACUCUGUUAUUAGGGAAGAACAAACGUGUAAGUAACUGUGCACGUCUUGACGGUACCUAAUCAGAAAGCCACGGCUAACUACGUG